Molecule: long non-coding RNA, 271 nt
Organism: Callorhinchus milii (elephant shark)
Lineage: Eukaryota; Metazoa; Chordata; Chondrichthyes; Chimaeriformes; Callorhinchidae
Exons: 3
Source: RefSeq, a predicted model, not a curated record
AAGCGGGGAGAGAAAAGACCUGCACAGGUUGGAGGAGGCGAUGGUGGUGUGAGGGACUCGGUCGGGACUCGAGGGGAGUUGAUGGGCAACAGUGCAAGUCAGCGUCAUGAAUAUGAAAGUCAUGAUUUGGGGGCAAACUGAAACUCAGGACAGCAAACAGAUAACAGAUUACCUGUACAGAAAUCAAUAAGCAAAAAGAUAUUAGAGGAGUCGAUUUGAUGGAUUUCUCCAAACCACCAUGAUUACUGGUAUGGUAGAAGGCACUAUUCAA